This is a long non-coding RNA of Cucurbita moschata (crookneck pumpkin), 297 nucleotides long. RefSeq lists it as uncharacterized. The transcript has 2 exons. The record is from RefSeq and is a predicted model, not a curated record. Lineage: Eukaryota; Viridiplantae; Streptophyta; Magnoliopsida; Cucurbitales; Cucurbitaceae.
GAUGAUGGUGGGGUUGCUGAAGGAGGGGUGGCGGGAGGUGGGGAGGCAGCUGGAGGAGGAGUAGACGGGGGCGGAACAGCCGGGGUGGUGGGCGGCUGAGCGGGAGCAGCGCCAGGAGCCUGAGCCAUAGAAGAAGUAGCCAAGCAGGCCAAAAGCAUCAGAAAUUGAAUACCCAUCUUCAUUUUCUCCACCAAACAAAAGAUAAGAGAGAAAAUUAGAGAAAGUUUGAGUGGGCAGUUGAAAUGAAAAGCAAUAGCGGAGAUAUAUAUAUAUACACAACAAGAACAAGAACAAAAA